RNAcentral lists this non-coding RNA (163 nucleotides) under Parasutterella secunda. Lineage: Bacteria; Pseudomonadati; Pseudomonadota; Betaproteobacteria; Burkholderiales; Sutterellaceae. The record is from RNAcentral.
UUGGUAACAAGAGGUCUGGAGGAAACCGAUAGCAAAACACUGACCUGAUGAACAAGAAGCAGAUAUGAGGCAUAUUGGGUGGGUGAGAAGUCGUGCUUCUUCAAAGCCCAAAUACACGUACGGAACCCAAUAUGUAUAUCUGACAGGUAUAAGUGUGAAAGCA